GACGAACCGUGCGAACGUUGUUCGGAAUCACUGGGCUUAAAGGGCGCGUAGGCGGGUUCCCAAGCCCGGGGUGAAAUCUUUCGGCUCAACCGGAAAAUAGCCUUGGAUACUGGGAGUCUCGAGGGAGGUAGGGGCAGCGGGAACUUCCGGUGGAGCGGUGAAAUGCGUUGAUAUCGGAAGGAACGCCGGUGGCGAAAGCGCGCUGCUGGACCGCUGCUGACGCUGAGGCGCGAAAGCCAGGGGAGCAAACGGG
RNAcentral lists this ribosomal RNA (253 nucleotides) under uncultured bacterium. Its description in RNAcentral is "partial 16S ribosomal RNA". It matches the Rfam family "Bacterial small subunit ribosomal RNA", at positions 524 to 776 of the family's 1533-position model. The record is from RNAcentral.